This 443-nucleotide ribosomal RNA is filed under the name uncultured bacterium. RNAcentral describes it as "partial 16S ribosomal RNA". It matches the Rfam family "Bacterial small subunit ribosomal RNA", at positions 338 to 795 of the family's 1533-position model. The record is from RNAcentral.
CCUACGGGCGGCAGCAGUGGGGAAUAUUGGGCAAUGGAGGCAACUCUGACCCAGCAACGCCGCGUGAGCGAUGAAGGUCCUCGGAUUGUUAAGCCCUUUAAGCGGGGACGAAGAAAGUGACUGUACCCGCAGAAUAAGCCUCGGCUAACUACGUGCCAGCAGUCGCGGUAAUACGUAGGAGGCAAGCGUUAUCCGGAAUGACUGGGCGUAAAGGGUGCGUAGGCGGUCGGAUAAGUUAGAGGUGAAAUCCCGAGGCUCAACUUCGGAAUUGGCGCGGAUACUGUUCGGCUAGAGAGUAGUUGCGGUAGGCGGAAUGUAUGGUGUAGCGGUGAAAUGCUUAGAGAUCAUACAGAACACCGAUUGCGAAGGCAGCUUACCAAGGUACUUCUGACGUUGAGGCACGAAAGCGUGGGGAGCGAACAGGAUUAGAUACCCGGGUAGUC